Molecule: long non-coding RNA, 1130 nt
Organism: Cyprinus carpio (common carp)
Lineage: Eukaryota; Metazoa; Chordata; Actinopteri; Cypriniformes; Cyprinidae
Exons: 5
Source: RefSeq, a predicted model, not a curated record
UGUAGAGUGUGUUUGUCGCCAUGUCGUCGAAACGCUGUUAUUUUCAUCCCGGAGUCCAAUCACCUUUGUUUGGCCUUCCCAGGGACGCUGUACUUAGAGAUCAAUGGUUACAAUUUAUGUUUAACUCGGUUCCCGAAAAUUAUAAUCCACACGUAAAACUAUGUGCAGCACAUUUUGCUAAGGACAGCUUCCUCAAUCUCAAUCAGUUUAAUGCCGGAUUCGCACAAAGAUUAUUUUGAAAGAUGGAGCAGUUCCCUCUUUGUCUGGAGAAGGCGUUGUUUAUGGACCACAACCGAGUUCAUCUCAGCAGGGACCACGUUCCCAAGAGCUCCCUGCAACAUCUUCUGUACAUGAAGCUGGAUGUCAGACAGACUCUGCAAACACCGAAACAUUGGCCAUACAGAUAUCAGCAAAGAUGCGAUCAGUGGGCACACAACUUUCUGUUGGUACACUGAGGGAUGUCCACAUAAGAAGCAAAGGCAUUCAGGCAACAGUUUCCAGUCUUUUAUAUAGGAAUGUUGUGCAGGUUGUAUCUCGCAGCCAUGUACUACAAUGAGAAUGCCCAGCGUCCACAGGCAACAACAACACAAGGAGAGGCUGUUUUCAAAAUCACUUUUCCGAAGUCAAAACAAGGGGAAUGCACAGCCAAGACCCAACAUUUAACUAUGUCGAUGACCUGAUGAGUCUUCUACUACACAAAGUCAUUGUGGACCCAACACCAUAUGUAGAAGAACUACAUCAGAUCACCAUUCCACCUCCCCUGUCAUCAGAGUUUGAAAAACCCUGCAAGAAAGAUGUCAUUGCCCCCCAUGUGUCUCGGUUUAGUCAAGGGGUGGCCGAAAUCCAACGUACUGUACAGCUGGAUCAGGAAACUGCUGGUGUAUCCGGCGAACAACACAAGACGGGAUGACGACCCUCACAUGUCGUCCUAAGUAGCACCAGCUGACAAAGCUGCGAUAUGCCGCAAAACAGAAACGCCUAUGGCAUUGAACCAUAAAGACAAAGUAAACAAAUGGUUCAUUAACAUCAUGUGUACAUAUGUUUGUAAAAAAUACAUUGUUUUAAACAUUUAAUUUUUUUUAUUCUUAUAUAACUAAAGUUAUACAUUGUUUAAUUUUAUUAUAUUUAAU